Molecule: ribosomal RNA, 492 nt
Filed under: uncultured bacterium
Lineage: Bacteria
Description: partial 16S ribosomal RNA
Rfam family: Bacterial small subunit ribosomal RNA
Source: RNAcentral
AGUGAACGCUGGCGGUAUGCCUAACACAUGCAAGUCGAACGGCAGCACAGUAAGAUCUUGCUCUUACUGUUGGCGAGUGGCGGACGGGUGAGGAAUACAUCGGAUUCUACUUUUUCGUGGGGGAUAACGUAGAGAAACUGACGCUAAUACCUCAUAUGAUCUACGGGUUGAUUCAGGAGAUCUUCAGGCCUUUCGCGAUUGUAUUAGCCGAUUUCGGAUUAGCUAGGUGGCUUGGUAAAGUCCCACCAAGGCGACGAUCCGUAGCCUGUCUGAGAUGAUGGUCGGCCACACCGGAACUUGGACACGGGCCAGACCCCUAAGGGAGGGAACAGUAGGGAAAUUUUCGAAAAGGGGGAAAGCCUGACUGAGCAACUCCGCGUGAGGGAAGAAGGUCUUCGGGUCUUAAAACUCUUUUUUUGGGGAAGAAAAAACGGGUAAUUAACUCCGCACUUUUUGACGGGACCCAAUAAGAAAACCACGGCUAACUUCGGG